GUUGCUUUGACAGAUUAAUUGUAUCAAAUUUAGAAUUUGAAGAUGGUUUACCAGGCAGUA
RNAcentral lists this transfer RNA (60 nucleotides) under Ornithodoros porcinus. RNAcentral describes it as "tRNA-Leu". Lineage: Eukaryota; Metazoa; Arthropoda; Arachnida; Ixodida; Argasidae. The record is from RNAcentral.